GAUGAAGAACGCAGCGAAAUGCGAUAAGUAAUGUGGAUUGCAGAAUUCAGUGAAUCAUCGAAUCUUUGAACGCACCUUGCGCCCUUUGGCCAUUCCGAAGGGCAUGCCUGUUUGAGUAUCAUGAACACCUCAACUCUUCAUGGUUUUCCGUGAUGAGCUUGGACUUUGGGGGUCUUGCUGGCCUAUGGUCAGCUCCUCUAAAAUAAAUCAGCUUGCCAGUGUUUGGUGGGUAUCACAGGUGUGAUAACUAUCUACGCUUGUGGUUUUCCACCAGGUAACCUUCAGCAGUGGAGGUUCGCUGGAGCUCACAGAUGUGUCUCUCCUCAGUGAGGACAGCUCUUUGAAUGUUUGAUCUCAAAUCAGGUAGGACUACCCGCUGAACUUAAGCAUAUCAAUAAGCGGAGGA
RNAcentral lists this unclassified non-coding RNA (406 nucleotides) under soil metagenome. RNAcentral describes it as "partial contains 5.8S ribosomal RNA, internal transcribed spacer 2, and large subunit ribosomal RNA". The stretch from base 1 to 121 matches the Rfam family "5.8S ribosomal RNA", at positions 35 to 154 of the family's 154-position model. The record is from RNAcentral.